Long non-coding RNA from Arachis ipaensis, 855 nucleotides. RefSeq lists it as uncharacterized. NCBI's taxonomy places the organism in Eukaryota, Viridiplantae, Streptophyta, Magnoliopsida, Fabales, Fabaceae. The record is from RefSeq and is a predicted model, not a curated record.
UUGCAACUUCUCAUGCCCCCGCCCCCUGCCUCCAUAACAUAUGACGGGUAACAGGGAUCCCGAAUCUGCCGGAGACCACAGCGGCCACUACCGAAGUAGUUUUGCUGCCGUUAAUUCCAAAACAGCAGACACCCGAAUUGGGGAUUAUUUUAAACUUGUUCGUGUUCACCAUGCUAAUGCUUUAGUGCAUUCGUCUCGGUGUUUUUGGUUUCCAUUCAAACCCCAAUUGCAUUUCGAAGAUUAGGAGCUUCAGUGAAUAAAUUGUAAGGUUGUUUCAGAAGAGGUGCCUGGGACUCUAUCUUCUCUCAAACUUUCUAGCAUGGAGCUGAAUGAUUUGACCCAAAAGCUUGGUAAUUUAAGGCAUAUAAAUUCUGGAGUUCACAUAGGAAGGAAGGAAGAAAGCAGUAUCAGUUCGAGAUCCUAUCUUAAGAACCCAGCAUCAUAACACCAGUAAUAUCGUCGACGUGCAUAAGGAUGUUGUUUCUGGGAUUAAGCUUGGUUGAAUAGGAGUCAUUGUGUUGAUGUAUGAUCUUUUCAUUGUCUUGGAUUCUAUUGAAAUCACAAGCUAUCUGUUGAAAAACGAACAUCUAGUGCUUUCAAAUUUAAAGCUGCCAUUGCAAAAUAGUAGGAAAAAUUGCUCAAUCAGGGCCCUAGUCUCUAUGUCUAGUGUUGACCCUGAAUAUCAAUCCAUUUCUAAAACAGAUAUUCUAUACUUCAAUAUAGGUUACAAAAUGUGAAUAUUGUGAUGACUCUGUUCAUUUUUGAAGCUAUGAAUCUCGAUCUGUAAAUAAAUUUGAAUCUUAGGUUUAUUGUAAUAUGUAAUUUCAUUGAGGCAGAACAUGUAUCAGUUGACUA